UGCCCAGUGGAGGAGGAGAAUGGCUAGCCAGCAGGCAGCCACCGCAGCAGCAACGGGGAGGAGGUGGGCGCGGAUGGCGGUGAGAUCGCUGCAUUUGGCAGCGAUGGAGAGCAAAACAAUCGACCGACUCUCUACGACGGAAUCCAUUAGCAGUUGCAGAGUUACUUCUGUAUGAAGGUGAUAGCGUCCGGUUCAUCGAUGAACUUUGCAAGCUUUGUUCUUUGUAAAAAGCAAUUGCAGAUCAAUAUAUGAAGAAAUCAGAAGGAAGUUUCUGAUUCCUACAAUGGUAGAUGAUUUUUUUUACCAAGUCAAAGUGACUGCUCCAUGAAGAAAACACCUUCCCUGAUGCAUGAGGGAGGCAGAGAAAGCUUCUUGAGAUAAAGUAUGGGACAGGCAUCUUCCAGGAAUCUAAUCUAGAUCAAGCUGAUGGCAUCGAUACCCACAGAAAGAUGUAAUCUAAGAAUAAUCUAAGUGAGGGAGGAUCUUGCAGCACAUCCCGACAAUCGAGCAGGGUUUAGAAGUGCAAAGCUUGAGUUGCUCAAACCCUAAUAAACUGUGCAUUAUGCAAGUUUUGCAAGUGGUAUUAAAUUUAGUGGCUUGUGUCUGCUCAUGAUGCAAGUCUGAGGAUUAAAAUUUCAAGCUUGGCGAAGCAGAGAAGAUAAAGACUGCAAGCUAUGUAUCAUAAGAUUAGUCAGCUGAUGCAACCAUUCUUUUGAUUUAUUACCUAAAUCAGAAGGACUUUUAUUCUCAGAGACUACACACGACAUCAAGAGAAUUAAGAAAAGGAGAGUCAUCCAUAGUUCAAAAUUGACUACUCUCUCCGCAGUUCAAAAUUGGCAGGUGAGGUUCCUGGUUGUUGUAUUGAUAGUGAGUGAAUAAUAAAAUGCUGGUAGCUUCACAUGCAAGGAAAUGGAGAUUUUAUGUUAAAGCUUUAAAGUUUAAAAGAGAAAUUUUAUAAAAUGACGGUUAGAACUGCUAUGAUGUAUGGAACUAAAUGUUCGAUUAUGAAGUCAGUACAUAAGUAGAAAAUGAGAGUU
Zingiber officinale is the source of this 1037-nucleotide long non-coding RNA. RefSeq lists it as uncharacterized. The record is from RefSeq and is a predicted model, not a curated record. NCBI's taxonomy places the organism in Eukaryota, Viridiplantae, Streptophyta, Magnoliopsida, Zingiberales, Zingiberaceae. The transcript is spliced from 5 exons.